AGUGAACGCUGGCGGUAGGCCUAACACAUGCAAGUCGAACGGCAGCACAGUAAGAGCUUGCUCUUACGGGUGGCGAGUGGCGGACGGGUGAGGAAUACAUCGGAAUCUACUUUUUCGUGGGGGAUAACGUAGGGAAACUUACGCUAAUACCGCAUACGACCUACGGGUGAAAGCAGGGGAUCUUCUGACCUUGCGCGAUUGAAUGAGCCGAUGUCGGAUUAGCUAGUUGGCGGGGUAACGGCCCACCAAGGCGACGAUCCGUAGCUGGUCUGAGAGGAUGAUCAGCCACACUGGAACGGAGACACGGUCCAGACUCCUACGGGAGGCAGCAGUGGGGAAUAUUGGACAAUGGGCGCAAGCCUGAUCCAGCCAUACCGCGUGGGUGAAGAAGGCCUUCGGGUUGUAAAGCCCUUUUGUUGGGAAAGAAAAGCAGCAGGUUAAUACCCCGCUGUUCUGACGGUACCCAAAGAAUAAGCACCGGCUAACUUCGUG
Molecule: ribosomal RNA, 492 nt
Filed under: uncultured bacterium
Lineage: Bacteria
Description: partial 16S ribosomal RNA
Rfam family: Bacterial small subunit ribosomal RNA
Source: RNAcentral